UACGAAGGGUGCAAGCGUUACUCGGAAUUACUGGGCGUAAAGCGUGCGUAGGUGGUUUGUUAAGUCUGUUGUGAAAGCCCCGGGCUCAACCUGGGAAUGGCAAUGGAUACUGGCAGGCUAGAGUGCGGUAGAGGGUAGUGGAAUUCCCGGUGUAGCGGUGAAAUGCGUAGAGAUCGGGAGGAACACCAGUGGCGAAGGCGGCGCUCGUACGGGCGAACUGACGCUGAGGAGCGAAAGCGUGGGGAGCAAACAGG
RNAcentral lists this ribosomal RNA (254 nucleotides) under uncultured bacterium. RNAcentral describes it as "partial 16S ribosomal RNA". It matches the Rfam family "Bacterial small subunit ribosomal RNA", at positions 524 to 776 of the family's 1533-position model. The record is from RNAcentral.